RNAcentral lists this small nuclear RNA (138 nucleotides) under Carassius auratus (goldfish). RNAcentral's name for it is "U1 spliceosomal RNA (ENSCARG00000050031.1)". It matches the Rfam family "U1 spliceosomal RNA". From Rfam's summary of the family: U1 is a small nuclear RNA (snRNA) component of the spliceosome (involved in pre-mRNA splicing). Lineage: Eukaryota; Metazoa; Chordata; Actinopteri; Cypriniformes; Cyprinidae. The record is from RNAcentral.
AAACUGAGACCAGACAGCAUGACAGGGCAAGGCUCAGCCAUUGCACUUUGGCUGUGCUGACCCCUGUGAAUUCCCCAAAUGUACAGUCUUGACUGCAUAAUUUAUGGUAGUGGAGGACUGUGGUCACGCUCUCCCUGC